This 408-nucleotide ribosomal RNA is filed under the name uncultured bacterium. Its description in RNAcentral is "partial 16S ribosomal RNA". It matches the Rfam family "Bacterial small subunit ribosomal RNA", at positions 28 to 526 of the family's 1533-position model. The record is from RNAcentral.
GACGAACGCUGGCGGCGUGCUUAACACAUGCAAGUCGACAUGAGUGGCGAACGGGUGAGUAAUACUUGGGUAACCUGCCCUCCUUUUUGGGAUAAGCCUUGGAAACGGCGUCUACUACCUGCUAACGGGGGCUGGGCUGGUGGCCUAUCAGCUUGUUGGUGGGGUGAUGGCCUACCCAUGCGGUGACGGGUAGCCGGCCUGAGAGGGUGAACGGGAACAUUGGGACGGUGAUACGGCCUAGACGAGUACGGGAGGGAGCAGUGGGGGCUAUUGCACAAUGGGCGAAAGCCUGAUGCAGCGACGCCGCGGGGGGGAUGAAGGCUUUCGGGUUGUAAACCUCGUGCGCUAUCGAACGGGUAGGUGGAGAAGAAGCGCCGGCUAACUACGUGCCAGCAGCCGCGGUAAUAC